Molecule: ribosomal RNA, 1246 nt
Filed under: metagenome
Description: bacterial LSU rRNA
Rfam family: Bacterial large subunit ribosomal RNA
Source: RNAcentral
UGAAUACGAGAUGCUACGGCGUCGAAGCAGUGUAUGUCAGACUUCCAAGAAAAGCUCGCAAUGUCAUAAAUAAAGAAUGCCUGUACCAUAACCGACACAGGUGGGUAGGUAGAGUAUACUAAGGGGCGCGAGAUAACUCUCUCUAAGGAACUCGGCAAAAUAACUCCGUAACUUCGGGAGAAGGAGUGCCUUCUUUAAGAAGGUUGCAAUAACAAGAUCCAAGCAACUGUUUAUCAAAAACACAGGUCUCCGCUAAGUCGUAAGACGAUGUAUGGGGGCUGACGCCUGCCCAGUGCCAGAAGGUUAAAGAAGUUGGUUAGCUUUUGCGAAGCUGAUGACUGAAGCCCUGGUGAACGGCGGCCGUAACGAUAACGGUCCUAAGGUAGCGAAAUUCCUUGUCGGGUAAGUUCCGACCCGCACGAAAGGCGUAAUGAUUUGGAUACUGUCUCGGAGAGGGACUCGGUGAAAUAGACUUGUCUGUGAAGAUGCGGACUACCUGCACCAGGACAGAAAGACCCUAUGAAGCUUUACUGUAACUUGAAAUUGAAAUUGGACUUUAUUUGCGCAGUAUAGGUGGAAGGCGUUGAAAGUAAUCUUGCGGGAUUAGUGGAGCCAUCAGUGAGAUACCACUCCUAUAAUGUUAGAUUUCUAACUUUGGAUCAUGAUCUGGUCAAAGAACAGUUUCAGGCGGGCAGUUUGACUGGGGCGGUCGCCUCCCAAAUGGUAACGGAGGCGUACAAAGGUUUCCUCUGAACGGGUAGAAAUCGUAUCUAGAGUGUAAAGGCAUAAGGAAGCUUGACUGUGAGACCUACAAGUCGAGCAGGGACGAAAGUCGGUCUUAGUGAUCUGACGGUGCUGAGUGGAAAGGCCGUCACUCAACGGAUAAAAGUUACUCUAAGGAUAACAGGCUGAUCUCCCCCAAGAGUUCACAUCGACGGGGAGGUUUGGCACCUCGAUGUCGGCUCAUCGCAUCCUGGGGCGGUAGUACGUCCCAAGGGUUGGGCUGUUCGCCCAUGAAAGCGGUACGCGAGCUGGGUUCAGAACGUCGUGAGACAGUUCGGUCCAUAUCCGGUGUAGGCGUUAGAAUAUUGAGAGGAGCCUUCUUUAGUACGAGAGGACCGAGAAGGACAUACCUCUGGUGUACCAGUUAUCGUGCCAACGGUAAACGCUGGGUAGCUAUGUAUGGAGAGGAUAACCGCUGAAAGCAUCUAAGUGGGAAGCCCACCUCAAGAUGAGUAUUCUCAUC